RNAcentral lists this ribosomal RNA (424 nucleotides) under uncultured prokaryote. Its description in RNAcentral is "bacterial SSU rRNA". It matches the Rfam family "Bacterial small subunit ribosomal RNA", at positions 355 to 796 of the family's 1533-position model. The record is from RNAcentral.
UGGGGAAUAUUGGACAAUGGGGGCAACCCUGAUCCAGCCAUGCCGCGUGAGUGAUGAAGGCCCUAGGGUUGUAAAGCUCUUUUACCCGGGAAGAUAAUGACUGUACCGGGAGAAUAAGCUCCGGCUAACUCCGUGCCAGCAGCCGCGGUAAUACGGAGGGAGCUAGCGUUGUUCGGAAUUACUGGGCGUAAAGCGCGCGUAGGCGGACUGUUAAGUCGGGGGUGAAAUCCCGGGGCUCAACCCCGGAACUGCCUUCGAUACUGGCAGUCUUGAGUUCGAGAGAGGUGAGUGGAAUUCCGAGUGUAGAGGUGAAAUUCGUAGAUAUUCGGAGGAACACCAGUGGCGAAGGCGGCUCACUGGCUCGAUACUGACGCUGAGGUGCGAAAGCGUGGGGAGCAAACAGGAUUAGAUACCCCCGUAGUCC